UACGAAGGGUGCAAGCGUUACUCGGAAUUACUGGGCGUAAAGCGUGCGUAGGCGGUUUGUUAAGUCCGUUGUGAAAGCCCUGGGCUCAACCUGGGAAUUGCAGUGGAUACUGGCGAGCUAGAGUGCGGUAGAGGAUGGUGGAAUUCCCGGUGUAGCGGUGAAAUGCGCAGAUAUCGGGAGGAACACCCGUAGCGAAGGCGGCACUCUGGGCCGGAACUGACGCUGAGGAGCGAAAGCGUGGGGAGCAAACAGGG
Molecule: ribosomal RNA, 254 nt
Filed under: uncultured bacterium
Lineage: Bacteria
Description: partial 16S ribosomal RNA
Rfam family: Bacterial small subunit ribosomal RNA
Source: RNAcentral